GGAGUCUCUGAAGGAUUGCAACUCAUCCGCUUCAAGGAAGGGGUCUUCUAGUGAUUUAACCUCCUGAUUCUACAGAGGGUCUGUAGAUAGAAGCACAUUCUCUGUAGCUCCUGGCUGCAUCUGACCAGCAGUAGAAAAUCCAAUUGUACUGGAAGGCAAAGGGAACACAAGGGCAUAGGAAGAAGUUGUGAUACCAGCUGUGCAUUGAGUUGGCAAGCUUCCCCAGCAGCCUUCACUUGACAUGAAAUCUGCCAUGCCUCGAUGGACAUCUGAAAGGAGAGUGAGGUCCCAGAGAUGCUGCUUAUGAAUUCAGGCAGCAUUAUAUGAAGAUGAGAAAUGUAUAAACAGCAGAGAUGCUGGAGGUCUGUGUCCCCAGUCAAACAGGUACAAACAAGACUAUGGAAUUAGAUAUAUGUAACAGCUCAUCUGCAGAGAAAUAUCCCCUACAAGGCAGGAGGAUGGUGCUUCUAAUCACACGGCCAAAGUGCAAUGUUGUGAGACUGAAAUGGACAACCGAACCAUAUGAUCAGCCUUCUUUUAUGAGAACACUAUGUCAGUCAGUCAGUUUAUGACCUGAAAUUGGAUGGGAAAAGUCUGAUCCUGGCCCUGCUGAAUGCAAAGAGUUUCAUUUUGCCGUUCUGUUUAGGAGAUACAGCUUUGGAGCUCCUGUCGUCGCAUCCUCGACCUUUUGUGUGUCAUUACCUUGAGACUGAAGUUUUGCUGUCCCUCCCCCCUCCUGCUGGGAGCUGAGCAGAGCAGCACUGCGGGCACCCAGUGCCCAGGUCCUUCCUGUGUCAGAGGCCUCUGUGGGCUCAGCACAUCUUUGCAGCAGCAACCGAGGGUCCCUCAGCACCAGCUCUGGAGGACACUGCCACCCCUGUGCCUUCUCUAAAGCCACUGUAACCCCAGCUACGCAGACUCUGAUGCUCUCUCAGCACACCUUCUGGGCUGCCGGAGCUCUGGUGCUUGUCACUGACUGAUGCCACAGAUGUGCUGCUAUAUCUAACAGCAGUUGUCUUCU
This is a long non-coding RNA of Tympanuchus pallidicinctus (lesser prairie-chicken), 1021 nucleotides long. RefSeq lists it as uncharacterized. NCBI's taxonomy places the organism in Eukaryota, Metazoa, Chordata, Aves, Galliformes, Phasianidae. The transcript has 5 exons. The record is from RefSeq and is a predicted model, not a curated record.